GGGUGUGCCUCAGUGGCAGAGCCUCUGCUUUGCAAGCUGAAGGUCCCAGGUUCAAUCCUUGGCAUCUCCA
RNAcentral lists this transfer RNA (70 nucleotides) under Podarcis lilfordi (Lilford's wall lizard). RNAcentral describes it as "tRNA.Ala". It matches the Rfam family "tRNA". Rfam says of the family: Transfer RNA (tRNA) molecules are approximately 80 nucleotides in length. Their secondary structure includes four short double-helical elements and three loops (D, anti-codon, and T loops). Lineage: Eukaryota; Metazoa; Chordata; Lepidosauria; Squamata; Lacertidae. The record is from RNAcentral.